AGACGGAGGGGGCUAGCGUUGUUCGGAAUGACUGGGCGUAAAGGGCGCGUAGGCGGCUUAUCAAGUCAGGUGUGAAAGUCUUGGGCUUAACCCAAGAAUUGCGCUUGAUACUGAUAAGCUAGAGGAUGAUAGAGGAAAGCGGAAUUCCUAGUGUAGAGGUGAAAUUCGUAGAUAUUAGGAAGAACACCAGAGGCGAAGGCGGCUUUCUGGAUCAUAUCUGACGCUGAGGCGCGAAAGCGUGGGGAGCAAACAGGAUUAGAAACCCUAGUAGUCC
RNAcentral lists this ribosomal RNA (274 nucleotides) under uncultured bacterium. RNAcentral's name for it is "partial 16S ribosomal RNA". It matches the Rfam family "Bacterial small subunit ribosomal RNA", at positions 523 to 796 of the family's 1533-position model. The record is from RNAcentral.